UCUUUCUCUUCCGCCCUCUAAGGGGGUUUCAACAUAAAUCAGAUCUGUCCCCUUAAUUUUCUGAGAAUCUGGUGUGUAAGGAAGUAUUUGAGUUUAUAGUUCAUUUAUUUGAAGGUUAAAUUCGUUGAGGUAAAAUGCUAGGGCCUGGCGCGAUGCAUGGAGGUCAAGGUCAGUUAACAGGUAUUUAUGUUGGCUCAAUUAUGGGAGACCUGGUUCAUGUAUUCAACAAGAAGCAUGGGCAUGGAGAAAUUUUUGAGGGCGUCUUAUUCAAAUCUAAAGAAAAAGUGGUGGUAAUCAAACUUGGAGUACAGGAUGUUUACAAGCGUCUUCACUAUAUCUUCGGCAGUAAUAUUUUGAAUUACAUUGGACGCAUCAGUCCUUCUGGUCUCAAUGACAACCAUGUGGUAUUAGUUAGCGAAACUUAUACUUGCAAUCUGCUAGAAUGGAAUUCCUACUGCGAUGGUGGGCAACAGGCUGUAUUGAAUGCAGGGUUACCAAAGUCAGAAGAGGCUUUAGCACUGGAUUUGGUGAAUCAGCGAUUCCAGAGUAAGGGAAGAAGCACCGAUUUUGGUUCUAAGCUUAUAACAGAGGUGACCUCUGGCCUAGAAACCUAUAUAAAGGAACAUUUGGAGGUAUCAGAUGACCCACAGACACAGAAAAGGUUGAAGGUAUCAGAUCUCAGUCCUGUAAACAUUGUCAUGAAAUAUUUUCACCCAAGUCUUUUCACAUUCAAAUUAAUGGUAACAAAGAUCAAUUCUAGUACCACCAAUGCUGAUGUUCGAGAAGGUUAUAUAAGCUUCAUAAGAUAUGUUUUGCUUGAUGGAGAUCAAGAAAAUAUAAAUCCUGUGCUUGAUGAUUUGUUUAGAGCUCUCCGGGGACAACCUCGUACUCCUCCUUAACAGAAUAUGUAUGAUGAUACCCGUUACACAAUCCAAUAAUGUAGCUCAAAUCAUGAAAAUAUUGGAGACCUUUUUUUCACUCCAUUUGUAUGGGUGUUUUACCGAUGUUGGGUAGCUAUCAAAUGAUUCUCUCAGUUUAUUAGAUAAGAUAAAAAAUCAUUUGAUAGCUACCCAACAUCGCUAAAGCACCCAUACAAAUGAAGUGAAAAAAAGGUCUCCAGUAUUUUCAUGAUUUGAGUUACAUGGAUUGUGUGGCGGGUAUCAUCCUACAUAUUCUGGUAACAAAGCAGUGAAAAAUUUUCUGGCUGAGAUGGAUCAAAUUGAUGUCACUAGGGAUUCUCCAUUUGCUACAUGGAGUGAUGUCUUAGCCACUAAAUCUCCAGCAGUAGCGGCAUUAGCAUCCACACCUCCUCCUGGAGUCGCAUCCACACCACCUCCUGGAGUCGCAUCCACACCUACUGGAGUCGCUUAUGAUCUUAAACGUCCAGCGCAUCUAAUUCGUUUCGAGAGGAACCAACAGGAGCAUUUUAAUAAACUCGUUCAGGAUGCUCAGGGGCACUUGGGGAAAAGCAUUGAAGAUUUCUUUUGCUUCUUUGACGAUCUCUUCCCGCAUUUGUUGAUCCAGACCUAUCGAGUUUUCCAGAUUCAUUAUUUUCGAAUACGAUCAGCAUUCCCAGAUGACCCCACUGUUCAAGGUGCUGCAGAGUAUUUUAAAUAGUAGUCCUCGAAGAAAUCUGAUAGUUUGGUUUUCCUACAUAUGAUUGGCUUAUAUUCUGGUUGGCUCGGAUUUUGGUAGCGAUUACUUUCUUGUCUUUUCAUUUCGAACUUUUAUUGUCAGAAUGGGUCAAAUGGUAUGCGUACAACUUCUGCGUGUUUUGUAAUUGAACCCUUUAUUAGGUUUAUAUUGAGGUGCUCGUAGAUUCGUUUCUGAUUCGGAUAGAUGGGUUGUUGUUUCUUUAGUAGAAGCAAUGAGCUUCUAGGGAAUCGAUUUCAAUUCAGUAAUAACCAUAGCCUACUCGCCAUCAAUGCCUCACUGUAAUCUUAUCUUCUUUCUGCUGAAAUACAAACUUGCAUCAAUCAAUUAA
Molecule: RNA transcript, 1984 nt
Organism: Papaver somniferum (opium poppy)
Lineage: Eukaryota; Viridiplantae; Streptophyta; Magnoliopsida; Ranunculales; Papaveraceae
Exons: 2
Source: RefSeq, a predicted model, not a curated record